AACGCAAAUGGGAAUGGAGCUUCCCAAAACCGCCGAUCCGUCGGCUGAUGGCUCCUGCUGAUCC
Molecule: non-coding RNA, 64 nt
Filed under: Achromobacter insuavis
Lineage: Bacteria; Pseudomonadati; Pseudomonadota; Betaproteobacteria; Burkholderiales; Alcaligenaceae
Description: Fluoride sequence
Rfam family: Fluoride riboswitch aptamer (crcB RNA motif)
Source: RNAcentral